RNAcentral lists this ribosomal RNA (593 nucleotides) under Phalaris coerulescens. RNAcentral's name for it is "eukaryotic LSU rRNA". The stretch from base 222 to 377 matches the Rfam family "5.8S ribosomal RNA". Lineage: Eukaryota; Viridiplantae; Streptophyta; Magnoliopsida; Poales; Poaceae. The record is from RNAcentral.
ACCCUGACCAAAAUAGACCGUGCACGCGUCCUCUAGCCAGCCGGCGGCGGCAACGUUUGUCGCUCGGCCAAGCCCUCGACAACCUCCUCUCCUCGGAGUUGAGGCUCGAGAUAAAAGAACCUACGGCGCCUAAGGCGUCAAGGAACACUAUGCCUAGCGGCCCGGGGAUGCGUACGGCUUGCUGUCCGCCUUCCGGUGCUGCAAUGCUUUUUAAUCCACACGACUCUCGGCAACGGAUAUCUCGGCUCUCGCAUCGAUGAAGAACGUAGCGAAAUGCGAUACCUGGUGUGAAUUGCAGAAUCCCGCGAACCAUCGAGUCUUUGAACGCAAGUUGCGCCCGAGGCCAUUCGGCCGAGGGCACGCCUGCCUGGGCGUCACGCUAAACACGCUCCAACCUGCCCUCAUCAGGGAGCGGGAUGCGGCAUGUGGCUUUCCGUCACGCACGUGGCGGUGGGCCGAAGAUAUGGCUGCCGGUGUUUCGUGUCGGACACAGCGCGUGGUGGGCGUCCUCGCUUUACUUACCGCAGUGCAUUCGGCGCGUAGCUGACGUGAUGGCCUUGACGGACCCUAAAACGGAGCGUAAUGCUCUGACC